GGUGGUGGCUCAGUGGCAGAGUGCUGACCUAGCAUGCGUGAGGUACUGGUUUCGAUUCUUAGCACCA
RNAcentral lists this transfer RNA (67 nucleotides) under Marmota monax (woodchuck). Its description in RNAcentral is "tRNA.Ala". The record is from RNAcentral. Lineage: Eukaryota; Metazoa; Chordata; Mammalia; Rodentia; Sciuridae.